This 497-nucleotide ribosomal RNA is filed under the name uncultured bacterium. Its description in RNAcentral is "partial 16S ribosomal RNA". It matches the Rfam family "Bacterial small subunit ribosomal RNA", at positions 28 to 507 of the family's 1533-position model. The record is from RNAcentral.
GACGAACGCUGGCGGCGUGCCUAAUACAUGCAAGUAGAACGCUGAAGAGAGGAGCUUGCUCUUCUUGGAUGAGUUGCGAACGGGUGAGUAACGCGUAGGUAACCUGCCUUGUAGCGGGGGAUAACUAUUGGAAACGAUAGCUAAUACCGCAUAACAAUGGAUGACACAUGUCAUUUAUUUGAAAGGGGCAAUUGCUCCACUACAAGAUGGACCUGCGUUGUAUUAGCUAGUAGGUGAGGUAAUGGCUCACCUAGGCGACGAUACAUAGCCGACCUGAGAGGGUGAUCGGCCACACUGGGACUGAGACACGGCCCAGACUCCUACGGGAGGCAGCAGUAGGGAAUCUUCGGCAAUGGGGGCAACCCUGACCGAGCAACGCCGCGUGAGUGAAGAAGGUUUUCGGAUCGUAAAGCUCUGUUGUAAGUCAAGAACGGGUGUGAGAGUGGAAAGUUCACACUGUGACGGUAGCUUACCAGAAAGGGACGGCCAACUACGUG